RNAcentral lists this ribosomal RNA (507 nucleotides) under uncultured Gammaproteobacteria bacterium. RNAcentral describes it as "bacterial SSU rRNA". It matches the Rfam family "Bacterial small subunit ribosomal RNA", at positions 1 to 499 of the family's 1533-position model. The record is from RNAcentral. Lineage: Bacteria; Pseudomonadati; Pseudomonadota; Gammaproteobacteria.
UUAGAGUUUUUUUUCUGGCUCAGAUUGAACGCUGGCGGCAUGCCUAACACAUGCAAGUCGAACGGUAGCACGGUCCUAGCUUGCUAGGAUGGGUGACGAGUGGCGGACGGGUGAGUAAUGCAUAGGAAUCUGCCGAAGAGAGGGGGGUAACUGAGGGAAACUUCAGCUAAUACCACAUAAUGUCUACGGACCAAACGCAGGGGACCUUCGGGCCUUGCGCUUUUUGAGGAGCCUAUGCCGGAUUAGCUAGUUGGUGGGGUAAAGGCCUACCAAGGCGAAGAUCCGUAGCUGGUCUGAGAGGAUGGCCAGCCACACUGGGACUGAGACACGGCCCAGACUCCUACGGGAGGCAGCAGUGGGGAAUAUUGGACAAUGGGGGCAACCCUGAUCCAGCAAUGCCGCGUGAGUGAAGAAGGCCUUCGGGUUGUAAAGCUCUUUUGUGGGGGAGGAAGCGCUUCUAUUAAUAAUGGAAGUGGUUGACGUUACCCCAAGAAUAAGCACCGGCUA